Molecule: long non-coding RNA, 834 nt
Filed under: Mus musculus (house mouse)
Lineage: Eukaryota; Metazoa; Chordata; Mammalia; Rodentia; Muridae
Description: long non-coding RNA chr18:80012981-80013815
Source: RNAcentral
CUCAGUGUGGAUGGAGCAGAUGUGAAUGAGGAGGUGUGCACAACUGCAGAUGUGAUUGUAGCAAUGGAGGCGAGCAAUUGCACCAAGCCGCCCGUGGUGGCCUCACAGAACCCAACACCUCAAGUGCCUCUGAAAGCUUUGAGUUGCUCUGGUCUUCAGCCAUGACCUUGCGUACAAGCUUGAGAUUCCUGUCUUCUCCAGUGACGGUUCCUGGCAUCCCAGGCAAGGAACAGCUGUGGGACUACAAGUCUCCUCAGACACCACACCAGCACCUUCCCCAGAAAAACUCUGUACAAGGACCUGAACUGUGAUGACCUCGGGACCAGGGUAAAGACCAAGAGAUUCGUUAAUGAGAAGGACUGGUAUAGACCAUAGACAGAGGAGCCGAGAAGGACCAGGUCACUUUGAGCAGGACCAGUUCACUUUGAGCAGGAUCCAUUUGGUUUGGACAAGUUUUUGGCAGAAGCAAAACAUCAUGUUGGUUCUAAAAGACCCUGGGAGAGCAUUUACCCCCAAGGAACAGGGGCUCAAAGGCAAGAAGCCAAACAAAGGGGUAUAGAGGCCUCUGGAAACUAAAGCUGACAUAUACAGCCGAGGAUGGCCUGGUCUAGCCAUCCUUCUGUGAGGGAAGAUGCACCUAACCCCGGAGAGACUUGAGACCCUGGAGAGUGGGGAAGCCUGGGGGGAUCGGGGGUGCUGGUGGGGAGUGGGGAUAUCAUCUCUUGGGUUCAUGGGGGAGGAGGAAUGUGAUGAAGAACUGUCAGAGGAGGGACAACGACAGGGAUAAAGACUGGACUGUCAAACACAUAAUUAAAGUUAAUUAAAAGAAAAAGG